RNAcentral lists this ribosomal RNA (765 nucleotides) under Bacillus amyloliquefaciens. RNAcentral describes it as "bacterial SSU rRNA". It matches the Rfam family "Bacterial small subunit ribosomal RNA", at positions 50 to 797 of the family's 1533-position model. The record is from RNAcentral. Lineage: Bacteria; Bacillati; Bacillota; Bacilli; Caryophanales; Bacillaceae.
UAUACAUGCAAGUCGAGCGGACAGAUGGGAGCUUGCUCCCUGAUGUUAGCGGCGGACGGGUGAGUAACACGUGGGUAACCUGCCUGUAAGACUGGGAUAACUCCGGGAAACCGGGGCUAAUACCGGAUGGUUGUUUGAACCGCAUGGUUCAGACAUAAAAGGUGGCUUCGGCUACCACUUACAGAUGGACCCGCGGCGCAUUAGCUAGUUGGUGAGGUAACGGCUCACCAAGGCAACGAUGCGUAGCCGACCUGAGAGGGUGAUCGGCCACACUGGGACUGAGACACGGCCCAGACUCCUACGGGAGGCAGCAGUAGGGAAUCUUCCGCAAUGGACGAAAGUCUGACGGAGCAACGCCGCGUGAGUGAUGAAGGUUUUCGGAUCGUAAAGCUCUGUUGUUAGGGAAGAACAAGUGCCGUUCAAAUAGGGCGGCACCUUGACGGUACCUAACCAGAAAGCCACGGCUAACUACGUGCCAGCAGCCGCGGUAAUACGUAGGUGGCAAGCGUUGUCCGGAAUUAUUGGGCGUAAAGGGCUCGCAGGCGGUUUCUUAAGUCUGAUGUGAAAGCCCCCGGCUCAACCGGGGAGGGUCAUUGGAAACUGGGGAACUUGAGUGCAGAAGAGGAGAGUGGAAUUCCACGUGUAGCGGUGAAAUGCGUAGAGAUGUGGAGGAACACCAGUGGCGAAGGCGACUCUCUGGUCUGUAACUGACGCUGAGGAGCGAAAGCGUGGGGAGCGAACAGGAUUAGAUACCCUGGUAGUCCA